UACGUAGGGUGCGAGCGUUAAUCGGAAUUACUGGGCGUAAAGCGUGCGCAGGCGGUUCGUUGUGUCUGUGGUGAAAGCCCCGGGCUUAACCUGGGAAUGGCCAUGGAAACUGGCGAGCUGGAGUGUGGCAGAGGGGGGUGGAAUUCCGCGUGUAGCAGUGAAAUGCGUAGAGAUGUGGAGGAAUACCGAUGGCGAAGGCAGCCCCCUGGGCCAAUACUGACGCUCAUGCACGAAAGCGUGGGGAGCAAACAGG
Molecule: ribosomal RNA, 253 nt
Filed under: uncultured bacterium
Lineage: Bacteria
Description: partial 16S ribosomal RNA
Rfam family: Bacterial small subunit ribosomal RNA
Source: RNAcentral